UUAUGGUUGAGGCCGCUGAGGUGUUUAAUAAAGGAGUUGAAAGCGACUGAUCUUUCUGAUUCCUGGUUGUUAAAUGCCCUAUUAACGCGCCGCACUACCAAUGGCAUAGACCAACCAUCAUACAAAGCAUGGUGUAUUGUCAAGACAAAAUGGACUUUGCCUGUUGUCUCAUUUGAGGGUCGUGCCAGCACGCCAUGUGAUCCCAUCUUUCAAAACAACCUGCAUGAG
This 228-nucleotide small RNA is filed under the name Histoplasma ohiense. RNAcentral describes it as "hypothetical lncRNA". Lineage: Eukaryota; Fungi; Ascomycota; Eurotiomycetes; Onygenales; Ajellomycetaceae. The record is from RNAcentral.